This 55-nucleotide transfer RNA is filed under the name Plexippus paykullii. RNAcentral's name for it is "Plexippus paykulli tRNA-Val". The record is from RNAcentral. Lineage: Eukaryota; Metazoa; Arthropoda; Arachnida; Araneae; Salticidae.
AGCAAAUAAGCUUAUAUAGCGUUUCACUUACACUGAAGAAAAUCUAAAUCAUAUU